Molecule: ribosomal RNA, 394 nt
Filed under: uncultured bacterium
Lineage: Bacteria
Description: partial 16S ribosomal RNA
Rfam family: Bacterial small subunit ribosomal RNA
Source: RNAcentral
AUACGGAGGAUGCGAGCGUUAUCCGGAUUUAUUGGGUUUAAAGGGUGCGUAGGCUGUGCGUUAAGUCAGGGGUGAAAUGCCGUUGCUCAACAUCGGAGCUGCCCUUGAUACUGGCGUGCUGGAGUACGGAUGCCGUUGGAGGAAUGAGUAGUGUAGCGGUGAAAUGCAUAGAUAUUACUCAGAACACCGAUUGCGAGGGCAUCGAACGAACCCGUAACGGACGCUGAGGCACGAAGGCGGGGGGAUAGAACAGGAUUAGAUCCCCUGGUAUCCCACGCCGUAAACGAUGAUGACUAACCGCCGGCGACAGACCGAUCGGUGGCCAAGCGAAAGCGAUAAGUCAUCCACCUGGGGAGUACGACCGCAAGGUUGAAACUCAAAGGAAUUGACGGGG